AACGAACGCUGGCGGCGUGGAUUAGGCAUGCAAGUCGAACGCGAAAGUCACCUUCGGGUGGCGAGUAGAGUGGCGAACGGGUGAGUAACACGUGAGGAACUUGCCUUCGACAGGGGGAUAACACUCUUAACAGGGUGCUAAUACCGCAUGAGACCACGGGGCUGCAUGGCCCUGAGGUCAAAGGUGGCCUCUAUUUAUAAGCUACCGGUCGAAGAUGGCCUCGCGUCCCAUUAGCUAGUUGGCGGUGUAACGGACCACCAAGGCGACGAUGGGUAGCUGGUCUGAGAGGAUGGUCAGCCACACUGGGACUGAGAUACGGCCCAGACUCCUACGGGUGGCAG
RNAcentral lists this ribosomal RNA (341 nucleotides) under uncultured Latescibacterota bacterium. RNAcentral's name for it is "bacterial SSU rRNA". It matches the Rfam family "Bacterial small subunit ribosomal RNA", at positions 29 to 351 of the family's 1533-position model. The record is from RNAcentral. Lineage: Bacteria; Pseudomonadati; Candidatus Latescibacterota.